AUAGGCUGUUAGCCUGAGCAUCUGUGGUCCUGUGCAUGCCACGAUACGAGUAACAGAUGUGGUUAACCGUAAUCCUGCUGGUUUUGAGACUUGAUAUUAAAUGUCCGGGACGAACAUUCUGUUAAACUGUUACUCGUUACUUUGCUUAAAAUUUCCAGAAUGACUUCGAGUGAAAUACCACUGGCAGUCGCAGUUUCGUAGGAACGAUCAGAAGUCUAUCGGGAUCAUCAAAAUGACGAAAUCCUUUAUAACCCCCGGAUUAGUUCACGACUUCCCGCCACGUCUUCAAUGAGAGAAACUUUGCACUCAUCGCAUUAAAAUGGAUUAUCGGCUGUGGUGUGGACGGGAAGGAGCCUCAAGGUAAAGGAGCCUCUUCAACCUUGCCUUUUGGCGGGGUAACUUCAACCCUGACUGUCUGCUGCCCCCAUCGAAGAUCAGCUAAUCCACAGAUGGCCUUCUGGUUGCAAUUGGGAGAAUGAUGUACCGGCGCGGACGUCUCGUCUUGUCGUGUGUGGUGUCAUGUGCGAUCGUUGGGUUAUUACUACUUAUUAGUCGGUAUCUAUAGCAUUACUGCGGUAGUGGUCAGGGAAUUUGGUGGCACGAUAUUAAUCAUGUAGGCAGGGCAGAUCACCACAGGCUGUAUGUACUGUAGUACAAGGCAACGCCUCAGGGAAGGGAAACAAAUGGGUGAUUCCACUGACCAUGAGCCAUGGUUUACUUAUGGAAGUGUACAUGUGAAGCUGCGUAACGGUUUAUUGUAGCUGUUGUAAUUUGCUUAGGAUUAUUGUGCUUUACAGUAUUUUUGCCGCUGUGAUAGCUCGUUGUAUAUCCUAUUACCCAGCUGCUGGACGAUAACCGCCGAGCUCCGGAAUUCGGCCGAUAAUCGUAGCGCUUCGUCCUAACACCCUUUAUCAACUGGAUUGCUAUUCAACCACGAACAGUAUCGCUUUAUGGAGCACCUUACCUGCAUUUUGUAUAUCUAUUCUGUCUUCCGGAUCGUAUCCAGUUUUACUCUUCAGUGAACUUUCCCGUCUCAUUAUUAGCAAUAGCUGGGAAUGGUGAAACCCUUUAUUCGGCUCCCACUGCAUGGAUCACGAGUUCAUGGAAGCCGACUGCCACUGGAGCAAAAUGGAUUCUGAUGGGCUUCCUCCUGGCCUGUCCGUCGGUGAGACGCCGCUGGAUCCACGAAUGGCACCAUACGACACUGGAAAAGAAGAUCCCCAACAGCGCAUCAUCUCUAUUACCCAGCGCUUAUUAUUGGUAUCCUGGGAUCCAGCGGCGUCUCACCGACGGGCAGGCCGACGUGGAUGCAGCUAACGGAGAAAACGCUUUGACCUUUUGAAUGCUGCCUGGAACUGUCAGUAUAUCAAGAUAAUCCGUGGAGAAAGCUGCUGUGAUAAAGUCAACGGUGACUGCGUAUCUGCUGCAUCCACGUCUUUAUUUAGUCGUUAUCAUCUUAUCGCUAUUGUUGGAAGAAUCCUGGUGGGAUUGUAUCCUCCAUUUCUCGUUGUUGAUUGAGGUUCUCAUUUCACGGAUAAUCGUAACAAUGCACCUUGCAGUCUCAGCUUGAACAUGGUAAGUUACUUUGUUAUUGCAAUAUCGCUUCGCACUUCCCAUAAGUAGAACAUGGCUCGAGUCGCAUCAUUCAAGUCUUUAAGUCCUUUAAGGGAUU
Long non-coding RNA from Paramacrobiotus metropolitanus, 1672 nucleotides. RefSeq lists it as uncharacterized. The record is from RefSeq and is a predicted model, not a curated record. The transcript is spliced from 3 exons. Lineage: Eukaryota; Metazoa; Tardigrada; Eutardigrada; Parachela; Macrobiotidae.